RNAcentral lists this unclassified non-coding RNA (282 nucleotides) under plant metagenome. RNAcentral describes it as "partial contains small subunit ribosomal RNA, internal transcribed spacer 1, and 5.8S ribosomal RNA". The stretch from base 234 to 282 matches the Rfam family "5.8S ribosomal RNA", at positions 1 to 49 of the family's 154-position model. The record is from RNAcentral.
UCUCCGUUGGUGAACCAGCGGAGGGAUCAUUACCGAGUUUACAACUCCCAAACCCCUAUGUGAACGUUACCAAACUGUUGCCUCGGCGGGAAAUUCAUGCCCCGGGCGCGUCGCAGCCCCGGACCAAGGCGCCCGCCGGAGGACCAACCAAAACUCUUUUGUAUGUCCCUCGCGGACUUUUAUAAUUCUGAACCAUCUCGGCGCCCCUAGCGGGCGUUUCGAAAAUGAAUCAAAACUUUCAACAACGGAUCUCUUGGUUCUGGCAUCGAAGAAGAACGCAGC